This 253-nucleotide ribosomal RNA is filed under the name uncultured bacterium. RNAcentral describes it as "partial 16S ribosomal RNA". It matches the Rfam family "Bacterial small subunit ribosomal RNA", at positions 524 to 776 of the family's 1533-position model. The record is from RNAcentral.
UACGUAGGGGGCAAGCGUUGUCCGGAAUCAUUGGGCGUAAAGAGCGUGUAGGCGGCUCGGUAAGUCCGCUGUGAAAGUCCAGGGCUCAACCCUGGAAUGCCGGUGGAAACUGUCGAGCUAGAGUCCGGAAGAGGCGAGUGGAAUUCCUGGUGUAGCGGUGAAAUGCGCAGAUAUCAGGAGGAACACCAAUUGCGAAGGCAGCUCGCUGGGACGUUACUGACGCUGAGACGCGAAAGCGUGGGGAGCAAACAGG